CUCGAUUGUUUUUUCAAUGUUACGCUUCACUAAUAAAAACGUAAAUAUUUAUGUAUUACUACACGUUUAAAUGAAAUGCCACAGUAUAUUACGAAUUAAAUUAUAAUAUGGCUUUAAAUGGAUUUGUUGAGUUCUUUCAAAAGGGCAAAGUACGAUAGUUAACCAAUCAAACUCUUAUACAGAAUCACCCUCGACAAUUUCAUGUUCAUUACAAAAUAUAUAUAUUUUGCAGACUUUUAGGCCAAAAAAAAGAUUUGCGGCAGGAACAAUAAGAUAUUCUCUCUAUAAGCAAGCCCAGGCUAGUCUUCAAUCUGGAAUAAAUUUACGUCAGGUAGUGCGGUUACCUGCAGGGGAGAACAUGAACGACUGGCUGGCUGUGCAUGGUAAGUGGCCACAAUUCACAAUCGAAUAAGUUUAAAAUUCAAAUGAUUUUAUUUUUAUUACAAAGUUGUUGACUUCUUCAAUCGAAUCAACCUUAUUUAUGGAACUGUUUCCGAGUUUUGUGACGAAUCAACUUGUCCAACUAUGUCUGGAGGAUCACGCUAUGAGUAUUUGUGGGCAGAUGGAGAUAUGUAAGUUUUUACGUUCCCUUCCCAACUAAUAUCACAAAAUUAUAAUCUGCGUUACGCUUUGUAUAAUUAAUUGUCGUCUUGAACUAAAAAAAUAACUCCGCCACAAAAUGUACUGUGCUGUAUGUUAUUAUGUCUAUGGUCAACAUAGCUAAAGUUGCUAUCAAUCAAAAGGAAACCUUAUAAAAGUUUUAGGAUUUAGGUUUUAGGUUGGUUUGGACAAAGGCAUUAAGUUUGCUUAAGAGAUAGGGAGACGGGUUCUCUCCCCAGAUACCGCCUUAACCUAGGGUAAUGCAUUUUUCUAUGGCACGUGUUUUAUUGAAAAUUAUAGCCAUCGUGCAAAGUAAAGCUCGAAGCAGAAAAUAAGAUAUAAGCCCCAAUCCAUCAAAAAACUUGGUUUGGUUUGACACCAAAUUAUUUAAAUUGUAUUUAAAAAGUGAUAUUAGUUUGCUGGUUAAUUUUUUUUCUUUACUAACGAUUGCAGCUAUAAAAAACCAAUUGCUCUUCCGGCUAAAAAGUAUAUUGAACACUUAAUGGACUGGAUUGAGAGCCAAAUUAACAAUGAAGCCUUAUUUCCCGUAUCCACUGGUAUGUAUCCAAAUCAAGUACCGGGCCUUGCCGCGUCUUACAACGUUCCCGCUGGUUUUGUGCUCCAAUAAGUACAUAGUUUUGUAUAUUUAUCCAUUUAUCUUGAACAAAAUACUCACUUAUACCUUUGCAGAUGUUCCAUUUCCAAAAACAUUUGUUGCACUUUGUCGCAAAAUUUUAACGCGAUUAUUCCGUGUUUUUGUACACGUCUACAUUCACCAUUUUGAUAGACUCGUGAGCAUCGGCGCUGUAAGUAAAUUAAAUUGUUUAUAACCCCUCGAUUUCCUUGACCCUGUAAUAACUGGAAGUCAUAGAUAUAUAUACAUAUGUACGUAUACUCAUAUGAUAAUAAAUAAAUAUCAGGUAUAGAAUAAUCAAAUCAGUCCUCAGAAAAUGAAUUAAAUGAGGAUUCACGUUUUGCUCGACCCCGUUGUUAUCGUUCGUUUUCUUUCGAAAUGACCAGACUUGUUUCCCCGAAACAAAAUCAAAAGCCAAGAAACAAAUUGUCGGUCUAGUAAUCUCUUUCCUCUGGUGUUAAAGUAUUCUCUAAAAUAACCCCCUAAUAUACAACUCAUUUCAAAUGCUUAGUGCAGCGAAAUGACUUCCAUGCGAUGUUAGCUCAAUAACUAACAUGCUUAAACACUUAUUUUUUAUUUACAGGAGGCGCACGUCAACGCUUGUUAUAAACAUUUCUAUUAUUUCGUUAGAGAAUUCGAUAUGAUAUCAAGCAAGGAAUUGGAGCCAUUGCACGAAAUGACGUCCCGGAUUUGCAAAGACAAAGAGUGAAAAAAUAAUAGUAUUUGUGUAAAUUGAUUUUUAAUGUUUCGAAUACGGAAAUAUUUCUUAAGAGAUGCGACAUAAAAUUAUAUUCAUAUAAUUUUUGUAUUUUAAAAAGUUGAAUCAUAUAUUUUAAAAAAUAAAUGAAUCUGAAUGUGGA
Molecule: long non-coding RNA, 2094 nt
Filed under: Drosophila guanche
Lineage: Eukaryota; Metazoa; Arthropoda; Insecta; Diptera; Drosophilidae
Source: RNAcentral